Molecule: ribosomal RNA, 276 nt
Filed under: uncultured bacterium
Lineage: Bacteria
Description: partial 16S ribosomal RNA
Rfam family: Bacterial small subunit ribosomal RNA
Source: RNAcentral
GACGAACGCUGGCGGCGUGCUUAACACAUGCAAGUCGAGCGGUAAGGCCCUUUCGGGGUACGACGAGCGGCGAACGGGUGAGUAACACGUGGGUGACCUGCCUUUAGUCUCUGGGAUAAAGCCUGGGAAACGUGGGUCUAAUACCGGAUAUGACCCUAUGGCGCAUGUUGUGGGGUGGAAAGCCUUGUGCGGCUAGGGAUGGGCCCGCGGCCUAUCAGCUUGUUGGGUGGGGGUGAUGGCCUACCAAGGCGACGACGGGUAGCCGGCCUGAGAGGG